Molecule: non-coding RNA, 148 nt
Filed under: Pan troglodytes (chimpanzee)
Lineage: Eukaryota; Metazoa; Chordata; Mammalia; Primates; Hominidae
Source: Rfam by way of RNAcentral
GCCAGGUGUGGUGGUGUGCACCUGUAAUCCCAGCUACUCUGGAGGCUGAGACAGGAGAAUUGCUUGAACCUGGGAGGCGGAGGUUGCAGUGAGCCAAGAUUGCACCACUGUACUCCAGCCCAAGUGACAGAGUGAGAUUCUGUCUCCA